UUACACCUGCCGUGUGCGUGAAACCGAUACGGGGUUUUGAGCCAACAUUUUGAUAAAAAGGGGUCUCUUGUCCAAGAGCGACGACGCGGUAGCCUGCGGGCAAGGCUGAAUCGUUCGGCAAGACCCCACCUGCGUCAGCAGGGUCAAAGCCAGCGGUACACGGCACGGCGGGGCCGGA
This 178-nucleotide non-coding RNA is filed under the name Chloroflexota bacterium. RNAcentral describes it as "Chloroflexi bacterium (sediment metagenome) 6S RNA". It matches the Rfam family "6S / SsrS RNA". From Rfam's summary of the family: E. coli 6S RNA was the first non coding RNA to be sequenced, but its function was unknown until recently. It consists of 184 nucleotides that fold into an extended hairpin structure with a large single-stranded internal bulge. Lineage: Bacteria; Bacillati; Chloroflexota. The record is from RNAcentral. RNAcentral also lists the same sequence under 1 other name.